Molecule: ribosomal RNA, 592 nt
Filed under: Tor putitora (golden mahseer)
Lineage: Eukaryota; Metazoa; Chordata; Actinopteri; Cypriniformes; Cyprinidae
Also listed under: 1 other name
Description: partial large subunit ribosomal RNA
Rfam family: Bacterial large subunit ribosomal RNA
Source: RNAcentral
CAUCGCCUCCUGCAAUACAACCAAGUAUAGGAGGUCCAGCCUGCCCAGUGACCACAAGUUCAACGGCCGCGGUAUUUUGACCGUGCAAAGGUAGCGCAAUCACUUGUCUUUUAAAUAGAGACCUGUAUGAAUGGCUAAACGAGGGCUUAACUGUCUCCCUUUUCAGGUCAGUGAAAUUGAUCUACCCGUGCAGAAGCGGGUAUAAUAAUACAAGACGAGAAGACCCUUUGGAGCUUAAGGUACAAAACUCAACCACGUCAAGCAACUUAACAAAAAGUAAAAACUUUGUGAAACAUGAGAUUUUACCUUCGGUUGGGGCGACCGCGGAGGAAAAAAAAGCCUCCAAGUGGACCGGGACAAACUCCUAAAACCAAGAGAAACAUCUCUAAGCCACAGAACAUCUGACCAAACAUGAUCCGGCCACCAGGACCGAUCAACGAACCAAGUUACCCUAGGGAUAACAGCGCAAUCCCCUCCCAGAGUCCAUAUCGACGAGGGGGUUUACGACCUCGAUGUUGGAUCAGGACAUCCUAAUGGUGCAGCCGCUAUUAAGGGUUCGUUUGUUCAACGAUUAAAGUCCUACGUGAUCUGA